AUUGAACGCUGGCGGCAGGCCUAACACAUGCAAGUCGAACGAGUGGCGGACGGGUGAGUAAUGCGUGGGAACGUACCUUUUGGUUCGGAACAACACAGGGAAACUUGUGCUAAUACCGGCUACCGAAAGAUCGGCCCGCGUCUGAUUAGCUAGUUGGGAGGGUAAUGGCCUACCAAGGCGCCGAUCAGUAGCUGGUCUGAGAGGAUGAUCCGCCACAUUGGGACGGAGACACGGCCCAAACGCCUACGGGAGGCAGCAGUGGGGAAUAUUGGACAAUGGGGGCAACCCUGAGGGAGCCAUGCCGCGUGUAUGAAGAAGGCUUUCGGGUUGUAAAGUACUUUCAGCGGGGAGGCGUUACCCGGAGAAGAAGCACCGGCUAACUCCGUGCCAGCAGCCGCGGUAAUUC
Molecule: ribosomal RNA, 406 nt
Filed under: uncultured bacterium
Lineage: Bacteria
Description: partial 16S ribosomal RNA
Rfam family: Bacterial small subunit ribosomal RNA
Source: RNAcentral